ACUCAAAUGAAUAGACGGGGGCUCGCACAAGUGGUGGAGCAUGCGGUUUAAUUCGAUGCUACGCGAAAAACCUUACCAACCCUUGACAUGGUGAUCGUAGGCUAUAGAGAUAUAGCUGUCAGUUCGGCUGGAUCACACACAGGUGUUGCAUGGCUGUCGUCAGCUCGUGUCGUGAGAUGUUGGGUUAAGUCCCGCAACGAGCGCAACCCUCAUUCUUAUUUGCCAGCGGUUCGGCCGGGAACUAUAAGGAAACUGCCGGUGAUAAACCGGAGGAAGGUGGGGACGAUGUCAAGUCAUCAUGGCCCUUACGGGUUGGGCUACACGCGUGCUACAAUGGUACUUACAGAGGGGCGCAAUACGGCGACGUGGAGCUAAUCCCUAAAAAGUAUCUCAGUUCGGAUUGUUCUCUGCAACUCGAGAGCAUGAAGUCGGAAUCACUAGUAAUCGCGGAUCAGCAUGCCGCGGUGAAUACGUUCUCGGGCCUUGUACACACCGCCCGU
This 500-nucleotide ribosomal RNA is filed under the name uncultured bacterium. RNAcentral's name for it is "partial 16S ribosomal RNA". It matches the Rfam family "Bacterial small subunit ribosomal RNA", at positions 899 to 1397 of the family's 1533-position model. The record is from RNAcentral.